Long non-coding RNA from Homo sapiens (human), 6034 nucleotides. RefSeq lists it as uncharacterized. The transcript is spliced from 2 exons. Lineage: Eukaryota; Metazoa; Chordata; Mammalia; Primates; Hominidae. The record is from RefSeq and is a predicted model, not a curated record.
UUGACCAUGGGCAGAUCCUGAGUGUACAUUUCACCAGCUAAAUUCAGGCUCCCUUUCUGCCAGGUGACUGUUUCACAUCUCUCUCCUCAAACUGCACCCCCGGCCCCGCACUCCCUCCCCGACCCUCGCUCCCCACUGAUGACCACACUCCCCAUUCCACUAAGAAAACAGAAGCAACACAGAACUUCCACGAGCUUCCAUUGCUCCUUCCACCCAGCCCUCAUCUGUGCCCCCAGAUUCCGCCUGUUUUCUGGGGCUACAGGAGAAUCAGCUCUGUGCUCUUGGCUGAGGUCAAGCCCUCUGCUUGUGCACAAAACCCCAGCCGCUCUAGGACAUCCCUCCAGCAACUGUCCUCAUCUUUCCUGACCUUGGGAUAGAAAAGGCCAAGCCCUUCACCAGUCAUUCUUGGAUACCUCCCCAGUCACUUGCUGCAGUAGAAGCAGUGACUGAUGAGGGUGACAUGUACUCAACAUUUGGUGUUACGACAUAAAAUGGGUUGCUGCGAGAAACAAUAGCGUAUGUACUCCUGGACUGAUUUUGUUAUCUCACAGCUGUCCUUCAGCCUGUAUUCUCUACUUGCCUGAACUGCAACCCCAACCUGGCAUUCCUCAUGCUCCCUAGAUCUAUUUUACCACAUAGCACAUAACUGUAUCUGAGGCACUAGCUGUUUAGUUUGUUUUGCUUACUGUUCAUCUCUUUCCACUGGCAUAUAAGCUCCACGAGGGCAAGGAUUUCGGCAUAUUUGUCCAUUUCAUUCACUGCUUUACUCCCAGAGUCUAACACAGAGCCUGGGCCACAGGACUUGCUCCAAAAAUAUUUGUUGAAUUAAUGAGGUCCCAGACUUGCCAUUUCUGAUCUGUGUGAUCUUGACAAAUUACUUACCCUCUUAAAAUCUCACUUUCAUCAUUUUUAAGAUGGGAGUGCUGAUAGUACUCACUACGUGGGAUUGUGGUGAGGAUUAAAUGACAUAAAAUGUGUUCAACAUUUUAGCACAUUUUCUGGUUUGAAGUACUCAACGAACGGUAUAUAUUCUAUGAUUAAUUCGAAUCAUAUCCAUUAGCAUCCAGGUUUACCUUGAGUGUAUUCAGCUACCGAUAGGUGCUGGUUUGGACAUUCAGUAGACUGGCAUGAAAAAGAAAAAUAAGAUGUCUACAUAUGUGCUUUCCUUCUACUACUGAAGACUAUUUAAAAACUAACCUUCACUUAAAAAAUACUGAACAUACAACUAAGUAACAUUAAUGUCUAGGUCUAGGUUACUAAGUUCUCAGUAAAAAUGAUGUUUAGUAAGGAAACGAUGUCAGUCAGCCUGCAGCUCAUAUUGAUAAGCCAUCCAAAAUUGGUCCCAUAGGUGAUGACAUCUAGACCUCACUUCUUCCGCUACCUGUGCUCUCUUCCCCCUCUUCUCUUUCCUCUGUUGUCACAAAGCCAGCUACUGCCAGGAUCCCCCCUCCCCAUCGCUCUGCAGUCCAGGGUGGGGUCUCUGUUAGCAUGAGGAAACGUGAAAGGAAAUGUAUCUCUGUGUACCUUUAUUUUCCCUCCAGGGCUUAAAUGGAAAAAGAGAGAAGGUGGAGUCCCUUUUGCCAUUGUAACUGGAAUUAAAAACCUUAAAAAACUCAAGUUGGAGCUCUGAGUGCAUUUUCCCACAAAAACCAUGUUAUAUAUAGUGGUUUGGUUCUAUGGUACUAUUAAUAAGACAGAAUACUUCAGCUAUGAUUUCUGGGCUGGCCUGGGAAACCACUAAAUAUGACAUAGUUUCAGUGAAAAAGUGUGUUCAGGGUUCCCAGCAAUGAGUUUUACAAACCCACAAUCAGAACACAACCCAUCUGAAAGCUGAGGGCCGCCUACUUCGCAGUAGGUUUGACAGCCUCACAAAGGCAUCCGAAUGUCAUAGACGUCAACGCCAAGCUUAAGAGUCUCCUGCGUGGCGCUCCAGCAGUACUUCAUCUCUGUUUGCCUGAUCCCCGUUCUCUAAUGUGGCGGGCCUACCUCACACAAUUUUGUGAGAACUGAAGCACCUGGUUAGCAAUAACUAUUCAACAAAGGUUAGCUCUCUUCUCUCCCAUUCAUUGGUGAAAUUUCAGUGUCUGUACUUUUUACUUGGUUUCAUGCAUUUUCUUAUGAAUCUAUUUUUAACACUUCUAUAUGAAAAAAAUACAAAGCUUUUGCCAGUAGAAACCAGAAAACGGUUAUUGCUCAUUUCUUCUGGCUGACACACCUUGUCUGCAAAUGGCAGCUUCUCCCGCAGCAGGAAAUCUUUUCCAUCAAAUAAGCCAUUACGCCUUCCAACAGUCUCUGCCAAACUGAAAAUCACCAUCUUCACUUACCAUAGUGGCAGAGCUUUGGCAGUUGGGCUAACGCGCAUUGAGCAGGGAGACUCGGCACUGACAUUAGCUAACCAUCCCACAUUUCCAUCUUGUUUCCUCGUAGUCAUUAUCCAAAAUACACAAGGAAGAGAGGCUCACCUAACUGGAAUGGCUUAUGUUACCAAUUACGGUCAACCCUAAAGCACAUAACCAGGAAGGCAGCUAACACUGACUGAGCAGGAAGAAAUCUGUGCCCUAAGUAGUCCACGGAGUUAGGCAGAGAAUUGUACCUGCCACCAGUUUCAAAAUGCUCUUUCUCCUUCCCUGACACCUCAGGCUCUCCUUAUUUCAUUUUAUCUCCAUGUCUUUUCUACAAGAAUGGGUCACUGUUUUCUAUUCAUUAAAACUCUUUGAGCCAGGCACAGUGGCUCACGCCUAUAAUCCAAGCUACUCAGGAGGCUGAGGCACGAGAAUCGCUUGAACCUGGGAGGCAGAGGCUGCAGUGAGCCCAGAUCAUGCCACUGCACUCCAGCCUGGGUGACAGAGCGAGACUAUGUCUCAAAAAAACAACAAAACAAACAAAAAACUCUUUGGAUGAAACAUUUCUCAUCUACCAUCUCUAAUUCUUUAUCCUCUCUUAAAAUUUGAUAACAGAGCUUCCCUGUUUUUUAAAAAAAAUCCCUUAAAUUCGUGCAAUCUCAAAGAGAUCUAGGGCUAAACACCUGGGAGACUGAACUAAGAAGAAAUGAGUGUCUCAAUUUCCUCUCUGUAUGGCCCUGGAACAAAUCCUCACCUUCUCUGCAGCUUUUUCUCAAAUCUGGUCGAGUUCCAUUUCUUGUAUGGUGUCUCAAAAGAACAUUGCUAGAAUGAGCCAAUACGUAUAUAGUACCAGGAGCACUUUCAAAGAACGCUUUAGUGCUCUUUUAAUGUAUUAUUUUUAAAAAGUAUAUGGUUAGUGUCUAUUUUCCCCAUUUACUUGUAGAAGAUUAUUUGUAAAAUACUGAAUGGGAGGCAAUUUUUGAAGUAUAGUGAAUUGUGAUUACUCAGAGUUUAUCCGGAUCUCUUGAAAUAAGUGCUGAAAAAGUGCCAUACGUUUUGAUACAAAAUUGUUGAAGUGGAAAAUAUACACAAAAGAAAAUGUCGAAUACACCUUUUUAUAGUUCCCAAUGAUUGUGAAAGAAAUCUGGAAAGGGGGGAAAUCAACAAUUGUUUGGACAAUUAAGAACUGUUGGAACACGCUAAUAAUUUCCCCUUGAAAUAAUGACUUCAGCACCUUGAGCAGUAUGAACUCCACCAACAUUGCCAGGAAAUGCUUUAUAUGUUUCAGGAAUAAUUAGUUGCUUCAAAUAUAACAGAGUCAAAGGUUUACUGUAACCUAGGGAAAAUAAUAUUUUGCAAAAAUGCAAAAAUGCAACUACCCUCAAAGGUAGUCCAAAUAAUAUAGUUCAUGAGCAAAGUUUUAAAGGCUUAAGACAAUAGAGUAAAAUUCUGAAGAUCAAGUACAAUGCAAGGUGGUGACAUUUAAUUUUUUUUUUAUUUUUAGAUGGAGUCUCGCUCUGACACCCAGGCUGGAGUGCAGUGGUGUAAUCUUGGCUCACUGCAACUUCCACCUGCUGGGUUCAAGUGAUUCUCCUGCCUCAGCCUCCUGAGUAGCUGGGGUUAUAGGCACACACCACCACACCUGGCUAAUUUUUGUAUUUUUAGUAGAGACCGGGUUUCACCACGUUGGUCAGGCUGGUCUCGAACUCCUGACCUCGUGAUCUGCCCGCCUCGGCCUCCCAAAGUGCUAGGAUUACAGGUGUGAGUCUCUAUGCCCGGCCUAUUGUUACCUUUAAAAAUAUUAAAAGUCAACUAAAAACUAUCUAGAGCUCAUAAGGAUCUACUGAAGCAACACUAAGGCUACUAUGAGUAGGACACCUGUUUAUUGUUUACUAAGUCAGUGGUCCUCACCUGGGACAGACUGGGCCUGUCGUUAUUACAUUAUUUAAAGCAGGUGAGCUACCACACCAUCCCAGCUAUCAGAAUUUUAUGAUUCAUGAAUUCCAACAAUCACAAUAAAAAUAAAGCUGCAUUAUUUCCAACCAUCCCCCAUGCUCCUCACACAGGGCACCAAGUUUUCACAUAGCCAGAGAUGGUGUGGAUGUUGGCAUAUUUUGCUACUUGCUGUACAUGCCCAGUUUCUUAAUGAAUGCGGUCACUGGGAAACCAACCCCACUCCUUUUUCUAAUGACAAAGUACAAGAAUCAGUAAAAAAAAUAAGUAAAGCUUAGGGAUUGGGGGAAAAACUGUUUAUUAUCUAGCUCUUGUCUAUCUCGUAUGUUUAUGGUUCAAGGAUGUGCUAUUUAUUAACUGCCUCCCUCAAGUUAUAAAUCUUACACUCACACAAAGGCAUAGGGGUACAUUAGCUUCAAACUAUCUCCUAUAUCCAUUGAUCUAAACAGACAUGGGGAAAAUCAAAUUAACUCAAACCUCUUAUCUAAAUCAAAGUCUGCCAAGUCUGAAGGGGGAAAAAAAUUGUUUUGGGGGGAUGUGAAAAAAAAAAUAGCAAGAAAGAUGCUGUCUUUCUAGAAGCAACCCAAACCCAAAUCCCUGGACAAUUCUCUGGCUAUCUUUUCCUUAGGUAGUGGGAGUUAAGGAGACAGUCCUGACAGGAGCCUGCAUAACACAAAUCAAGAAAUUAUCCUCACAGCCAAGGCUGGUGACACCAUUCCUUAACCUGGCGGAGGGGAGCUUUUCAAGGCUUAUGAACCAGGAUCAUAUUAUUCCAUGUCUCUGAAGCUUGGGUCGGUCCCUCUGUCCUUUUCUCGUGCUAGUUUCUCUGUGAUUACGCAUUAAAAUGUAGAGCCAGUCAUCUCUGGCUCCUAGAGACUCCCAGGUUGAUGAAUGCACACCCGUCCUGGAAUUUCGCCUGAAGACCAGUAACGGGACUCGGUGUGCCCGGGCCUGUUCGGGGCACGCAGCGCAAGACCCGGCUCCGCAGGGUGGGAAGAUGCCCGAGCCCAGGGAGACCCGACCGAGACGCCCCCUCUCCUGCCCAGCGCGCCCCCUUCCGUCCCCAGCAAGAGAGCAAAGGUCCCAAGCCUCAAUCCGGGCUCAAGCGACCAAACCCCUUUCUAGAGUCUGGACCACUCACCAUUCGGGACAGAGCUGCCCCCAAAAGUUAAAAUGAGACAAACGGGCGGGAAGCCCCCAGCCCCGGGGCGGGGCCGGCCUAGAGCCCUGCGCUCCAGCUUUGGGAGCUCACCCAGGCCCGGGGAGGGCCAGCCUGGCUGCUCACGGGACCCUCCCUUGUUGGCCCGGCCGUGGCCGGGAACCCACGCGUGGCCGGUGCGCGCUGCCAGUGCUGCAGCUGAGGUUCGGGUUCGGCCCGCGCCCGGCGUGAACAAAGCGGCUGCCAAGGCCUGGGACUGAGGGGACUGAGCCGCCGGCUCCACGCCGCCCCCAGGCCCAGAAGAAACACCGACUGCGGGCCGGGCACAGCACCCGGCCGGGGAAAGGACGCCCCGAGUUACGCGCAAACUUCCUUUGAAUGGCGCCCAGACUAAAGAGUGUCCAAUAAACGCGACUCCAGGGCAGCGUUUUAGGGGAAAGCAAUAAAAACUCACGGUAGAAUGGAAGCUGCCCUGAAGGAAUGGAACUGCGAGACUGGGGCUGGGACUGGGGCUGUGGGGAGGGAAAGCACAUACAGUGUAAAAACGAUUGUGUGACAUUAAAUCGAAAAGCACAAAUCA